RNAcentral lists this transfer RNA (68 nucleotides) under Longivalvus hyalospilus. RNAcentral's name for it is "tRNA-Ser". The record is from RNAcentral. Lineage: Eukaryota; Metazoa; Arthropoda; Insecta; Psocodea; Psocidae.
AAUUGAUUAGUCUAAAAAAGACAAUUGUUUUGAAAACAAUAAAUGAAUAAUUGUAAAAUCAUCAAUUU